RNAcentral lists this ribosomal RNA (200 nucleotides) under uncultured bacterium. RNAcentral's name for it is "partial 16S ribosomal RNA". It matches the Rfam family "Bacterial small subunit ribosomal RNA", at positions 8 to 204 of the family's 1533-position model. The record is from RNAcentral.
AGAGUUUGAUCCUGGCUCAGGACAAACGCUGGCGGCGUGCGUAACACAUGCAAGUCGAACGGGGUCUGCAUCUUUCGGGGUGCAGACUGAGUGGCGGACGGGUGAGUAACACGUGGAUAACCUACCUGCUGAGGGGGAUACCCUGUAGAAAUACGGGCUAAGACCGCAUACGGUGGUUUCUGGGGAGCCGGGAGCCAAGA